GUGGGGAAUCUUGCGCAAUGGGCGAAAGCCUGACGCAGCCAUGCCGCGUGAAUGAUGAAGGUCUUAGGAUUGUAAAAUUCUUUCACCGGGGACGAUAAUGACGGUACCCGGAGAAGAAGCCUCGGCUAACUUCGUGCCAGCAGCCGCGGUAAUACGAAGGGGGCUAGCGUUGCUCGGAAUUACUGGGCGUAAAGGGCGCGUAGGCGGACAGUUUAGUCAGAGGUGAAAGCCCAGGGCUCAACCUUGGAAUUGCCUUUGAUACUGGCUGUCUUGAGUACGGGAGAGGUGAGUGGAACUCCGAGUGUAGAGGUGAAAUUCGUAGAUAUUCGGAAGAACACCAGUGGCGAAGGCGACUCACUGGCCCGUUACUGACGCUGAGGCGCGAAAGCGUGGGGAGCAAACAGGAUUACAUACCCUGGUAGUCC
RNAcentral lists this ribosomal RNA (425 nucleotides) under uncultured bacterium. RNAcentral describes it as "partial 16S ribosomal RNA". It matches the Rfam family "Bacterial small subunit ribosomal RNA", at positions 354 to 796 of the family's 1533-position model. The record is from RNAcentral.